RNAcentral lists this ribosomal RNA (506 nucleotides) under uncultured bacterium. RNAcentral describes it as "partial 16S ribosomal RNA". It matches the Rfam family "Bacterial small subunit ribosomal RNA", at positions 29 to 523 of the family's 1533-position model. The record is from RNAcentral.
AGUGAACGCUGGCGGUAGGCCUAACACAUGCAAGUCGAACGGCAGCACAGGAGAGCUUGCUCUCUGGGUGGCGAGUGGCGGACGGGUGAGGAAUACAUCGGAAUCUACUCUGUCGUGGGGGAUAACGUAGGGAAACUUACGCUAAUACCGCAUACGACCUACGGGUGAAAGCAGGGGAUCUUCGGACCUUGCGCGAUUGAAUGGGCCGAUGUCGGAUUAGCUAGUUGGCGGGGUAAGGGCCCACCAAGGCGACGAUCCGUAGCUGGUCUGAGAGGAUGAUCAGCCACACUGGAACUGAGACACGGUCCAGACUCCUACGGGAGGCAGCAGUGGGGAAUAUUGGACAAUGGGCGCAAGCCUGAUCCAGCCAUACCGCGUGGGUGAAGAAGGCCUUCGGGUUGUAAGGACCUUUUGUUGGGAAAGAAAUCCAGCUGGCUAAUACCCGGUUGGGAUGACGGUACCCAAAGAAUAAGCACCGGCUAACUUCGUGCCAGCCGCCGCAGUAA